RNAcentral lists this long non-coding RNA (527 nucleotides) under Vigna radiata. RNAcentral's name for it is "long non-coding RNA (VRAD_LNC006108)". Lineage: Eukaryota; Viridiplantae; Streptophyta; Magnoliopsida; Fabales; Fabaceae. The record is from RNAcentral.
AUAUAAGCUUCAGAUUUUUUCACUUUAAGCAUUGGUUUCCUGAAUAACCGAUGUCGUAAGGCUCUUUGCCUCGGGUAUUUUGGCAACCGAGGUAGUAUCGUUUAUUAAGUUCAAAAUUUUCAGCCCUUUUCAUUUCUUCUCGCGUUGUUGCUGCUUCUGGUUUUUCUUCUUUCUCUUCGUGUAGUUGCCUUCUUCGCACCAUAUAAGCUUCCUCAGGCGCCAUUCUUCGUACCAUUUCUCUUCAUUGCUUUUUCGUCUUCGUCGCUACAUUGUGUUUGCACCUUGCCUUACGCCUUUGCCGCCACCACUGUUGUUCUCCGCAAGGGCUACCUCCACCAGCGUCGCUGCCGCUCCGCCGCGAGUCCUUUGUUUUAUUUGUGUCUCCUUCGUCGUCACUGCUUCACUACGAUUUGUUUAGUUUUUGGUGUUGCCUUCGUCCCUGUCGUUCUCACCUUCGUAGUCGCUGCUAUCAUCGUCUCCCCCACUGUCAUUGUCAUUGUUGGUGUUGCCCAUCACGGUAAGUUGUU